RNAcentral lists this unclassified non-coding RNA (1329 nucleotides) under Bombus terrestris (buff-tailed bumblebee). Its description in RNAcentral is "misc RNA ENSBTSG00005024099.1". The record is from RNAcentral. Lineage: Eukaryota; Metazoa; Arthropoda; Insecta; Hymenoptera; Apidae.
UACCUCAUCCACGCUCCAGCGAGGUCUCGACUCUAUGGAAAAGUGGUUUCAUAAAUGGGGCCUCAAAAUUAAUGAAAACAAAUCUACACAUGUAACCUUCACGCUGCGAAAACAAACCUGCCCUCAGGCGGCCAUUAACAAUAUAACAAUUCCUAACAAGGACUCAGUCAGAUACCUGGGCAUGACUCUGGACAGGAGAUUAACAUGGAAACAACGCAUCAUAGACAAAUGGAAGCAACUCAAGGAUAAACUUAAAAAACAAGCGCGCGCAGCCUCCGAGCCAUUCGCACGACUUGUGUAUUACCGUGACUGAUACCAGGGACAAAUUAGAAACGUGAAUAAAGGGAAGGAGAGAAAUAGAAGAAAAGAAGAGAAGAAGACAGAUUGCACCGAACAGAAUAAAAGAAGAAAAUAUGGCAAAUUAAGAUGAAGAGAAAAUUGUAAAUAAAAGCGUUUAAUCCAUAGAGUGUGGUGGCAAACAAAUUAUGAAACAAGAUAAUUCUUCUAUUUUUCUGUAUUGAUUAUUCCUAAGUAUACAUAUAACUACGCAGGAUAUGAUAUAUCAUAUGCAUGUAGGAUUUUGGUUUGAAGAAGUAUGUUUAUUAAAUUUUAAAGAACGAAAAUUGAACAAGAAACCCAAUAACUCGAUGUUUCACAAUUUAGCACAACACAAUUCGAUACAAUUUGUAUUGUACAACUUAUACAACAUAGCACGAUAAAAAGCAACACGAUCCAAUACGUUUGUAAACAACUUCUUGCAUAAUACGUUGGUGCUCUGGCAAUUCUUGAUUUGCGACUAAUUGACAAGCGAUCCUGAAUUUUUUAGAGAACGUCACACAUACACUUGAAUUUUUUGAUACUAAAUAAUUAAAUAUGUGUGAUUCGACCACAUUUGAUAGCACGUUAAGAAGGUUCCUAACAAACACAAAGAUGGUAUCCCGUUGGGGAUGGUCACCCACAUGAUAAUCAAACAGUUAAAAAAUUCUACCAAAUGUCCAAAUUGGCGAUUUUUUUGUGGAUGCGUGUGUGAAAUUUGUAUAAACAUUGUUUAUACGUGCUAUCAUUUAUUAAUUAUUUAUGGAGGCAAAGGAAAAGAGAAAACAUUAAUCCUGCCCACUCAAAAAUUCCAUAAGACGGUUUCCGAUAUGCUGUUAUGGAUUUUAAUGAGUAGGCAGGUAUAAUGAUUAAUCUAUGAUUUUUCUUACAAAACACCGCGCAGGAUGGUUUACAUCUUCGAAUGUCAUAGUCUUCUUCUCUACUUGUAUGAGGCAAGCACUGCCCAUAUAUAUUGUUUGAGUUGAGAAUCGCUGCUUCGACUGCUUAGACUGA